RNAcentral lists this long non-coding RNA (287 nucleotides) under Nicotiana tabacum (common tobacco). RNAcentral's name for it is "long non-coding RNA (NTAB_LNC003716)". The record is from RNAcentral. Lineage: Eukaryota; Viridiplantae; Streptophyta; Magnoliopsida; Solanales; Solanaceae.
CGGUGUACAGGAGGUACGUGGUGGCAAUGGGCCAUGGUACGUAGAAGGUGGCAGGUUUGUUGGUGGGGUGGAUGGUCUAGUUUAUGGAGUGAGCAGAAGCCCAUAUGGAGGAGGAGAAGGGGGCGAAUAUGUAGUUGGUGGUGGUGGUGGUUGGCCAUACGUAGGUGUAGGUGUAGGUGUAGGUGGUCGUGGCUGCCUAUGAGGAGGAGGCGGUGAGUGAAUUCGUCUUGGCGGAGGAGGAGAGAUAGUCGGUGGUGGUUGGCCAUAAGUAGGUGUAGGUGUAGGUG